Ostrea edulis (European flat oyster) is the source of this 786-nucleotide long non-coding RNA. RefSeq lists it as uncharacterized. The record is from RefSeq and is a predicted model, not a curated record. NCBI's taxonomy places the organism in Eukaryota, Metazoa, Mollusca, Bivalvia, Ostreida, Ostreidae. The transcript has 2 exons.
CGACCACUCACGAUCUGGCAACUCCCUUGUGAAAUUGAGAGAACGUAGCGCGAUCGUCAGAUUGUGAAUCUUGUCUCGGGAGCUUUCACAGCAGUUAAAACAAAACUGAUUGUAAGAUAGUCACGUUAGCAUGUUAUAUAUUCGUAGUAAGGGGCUGUAAGUUUCGUUUCUCGUCACUUCCGGUGAAGCGUUUCCGGUGACAAACAAAUCCGAUUCGGUAUUACGAGUAUAGAAUCGGGCCAACUACACGUCCGAAAAACCAACGCUUAUGCAUAAAUCAGAGAACGCUGUGUACCACAACCAUUUGUUAUGUCCCUGUUUAACAAGUUGAAGUACAUUGUCAAUGCAGUGGUUCAAGUGUCGAUGGAGAACAAGUUGUAUAAAGUAACCAGAAUACAGGAAGAGUAUUUUCUCCCUUAAGUCCAGCCAUCCUUACUAUCACCUGAUACAGGGCCAGCUUUUGUGCAAUAUGAAUUAUUGUGUUUGGACUACAGCCGACUGCAUGCAAAAUUAUCCGGAUCAUCAAGGACUCUUAGUGAACAAAGAACAUUGCAAAGUGAUAGAAUUUUAUUUCUGCAACUUGAUUAUUUGGAAACAGCUGACUGCAGAAUUAUCCGGGAUCAUAAAGAACUCUGAAUGGUCACAUAACAUUAACAGAUUUAUACUUUCAAUAUCUUCAUUCCUGAAUGGAUUCAAAAUCAACAUGUAUUGAUAAAAUAUACUUAGUAAAACAAUGACAAUCAGUAGUGCAUCUUUUAUUUAUAUGCUAGACUAUUUGACACACAA